GGUGGAUUUGCCUGCACUCAAGCUGCUGCUGCCAGAGCCCCUCCGUGUCAAUCUGUGCUGCCGUUGGGUUCUGCAGCUCUCUCCAGCAAGCACGGCAUGAGCUGAAGGAGCAGCAGGAGCAGCAUGGCCGUUCCCCAGGCAGCAGGAGGGUUCAGCCCAGCACCAGCUCAUGCGGGAGGAGCAGAUGCUGAGGAACAUCCCCCACGAGACGCAGGUGGCCAAAGAGGCUGGGUCAGGUGCCAAAAAGGAGACCUUCUUCACCUGCUUCUCUUGUGCAAGCUCUUCUGUCUGUCUGCUGAGAUGUUUCUGCCUGUUUCUCUGGCAGAGAAGUGUUUGCUUUUUUGGCUGGCGAGCUGACCAUCCGUACUACCGUCGCCUUGAAUGCCUCCAACCAGCAGUGUUUGCUGCCAGACAGACACCUGGAGAAGACAGAGGACAUGCUGCGGUGGCUCCGAUUGUUACGCCGUGUGAUUUAUCUUCCUGUCCUGGCUGUCUUCCUGUGCUGGGUGCUGGCAGUGAAUACGUGGUGAGGAGUGCUUGGGGUGUGCCAUCCUUUGCUGUUCUCACUGUGGGAACUCCAAGAGCCAUGGAAUGGGCACAGGCUGGUGAUGGACUUCUGCAGCGAAGCAAGAGAGUCCUCUAUGAGGCCAAGGCUGCUGUAAUGCUGCAGGGAUGGAUUUGCCUGCACUCAAGCUGCUGCUGCCAGAGCCCCUCCGUGUCAAUCUGUGCUGCCGUUGGGUUCUGCAGCUCUCUCCAGCAAGCAUGGCAUGAGCUGAAGGAGCAGCAGGAGCAGCAUGGCCGUUCCCCAGGCAGCAGGAGGGUUCAGCCCAGCACCAGCUCAUGCGGGAGGAGCAGAUGCUGAGGAACAUCCCCCACGAGACGCAGGUGGCCAAAGAGGCUGGGUCAGGAUGUUCAAGAUCCAUCAGUGACAGUGAGCUUUCCACUGGAUGAAGAGGCAAGUGUUUCUCUUGUUGCUGGGACCACGACUCCUUGGACCUUGCCCAGUAAUCUGGCCCUUUGUGUUAAUGCAGAGUUGCAAUAUGUAGAAUGGAGAGAGAGUGCCACAGGACAGAUUUCCAUUUGGAUGGAAUCCAGGCUGGUAGCACUGCACAAACCUGAAAGUGAAUAGGAAAUACUUGACAGGAUGAUGACAGAGUCUGCAUGGACUUGAAUAGAAUUCAGAAGGGUGCUGUGGCUGUUUGUGCCGUCGAUGCAUCUGGCUGCUUCACAGCAGAGGUGGCUGACUUGGCUGGACAGUAUGUGAAGAUGUGGUCAUCAAGCUUGUGCCAGCCAGGUAGUGUAACACGACUUGUCAGAGGAGAGAAAUCUACUCAUUUUCCCUACUUGUGGGAUGUGUUGC
This is an RNA transcript of Pogoniulus pusillus (Red-fronted tinkerbird), 1360 nucleotides long. It is a transcript of the gene named protein disulfide-isomerase TMX3-like, with no coding region annotated. The transcript is spliced from 10 exons. The record is from RefSeq and is a predicted model, not a curated record. NCBI's taxonomy places the organism in Eukaryota, Metazoa, Chordata, Aves, Piciformes, Lybiidae.